GACGAACGCUGGCGGCGUGCCUAAUACAUGCAAGUAGAGCGCUGAAGGAGGAGCUUGCUUCUCUGGAUGAGUUGCGAACGGGUGAGUAACGCGUAGGUAACCUGCCUGGUAGCGGGGGAUAACUAUUGGAAACGAUAGCUAAUACCGCAUAAGAGUAGAUGUUGCAUGACAUUUGCUUAAAAGGUGCAAUUGCAUCACUACCAGAUGGACCUGCGUUGUAUUAGCUAGUUGGUGGGGUAACGGCUCACCAAGGCGACGAUACAUAGCCGACCUGAGAGGGGGAUCGGCCACACUGGGACUGAGACACGGCCCAGACUCCUACGGGAGGCAGCAGUAGGGAAUCUUCGGCAAUGGACGGAAGUCUGACCGAGCAACGCCGCGUGAGUGAAGAAGGUUUUCGGAUCGUAAAGCUCUGUUGUAAGAGAAGAACGAGUGUGAGAGUGGAAAGUUCACACUGUGACGGUAUCUUACCAGAAAGGGACGGCUAACUACGUG
This 495-nucleotide ribosomal RNA is filed under the name uncultured bacterium. RNAcentral's name for it is "partial 16S ribosomal RNA". It matches the Rfam family "Bacterial small subunit ribosomal RNA", at positions 28 to 507 of the family's 1533-position model. The record is from RNAcentral.